This 405-nucleotide ribosomal RNA is filed under the name Hyalomma sp. HmargslAN84779. RNAcentral's name for it is "partial 16S ribosomal RNA". Lineage: Eukaryota; Metazoa; Arthropoda; Arachnida; Ixodida; Ixodidae. RNAcentral also lists the same sequence under 2 other names. The record is from RNAcentral.
AGUAUUUUGACUAUACAAAGGUAUUGUAAUAAGAUUUUAAUUGAAUGCUAAAAGAAUGGAAAUUUAAAAAAAAACUUUUUUAAAAAUAAAAAUUGAAUUUUUUUUAAUUUGUGCAAAAACAAUUAUAUUUAUUAAAGACAAGAAGACCCUAAGAAUUUAAGAUUUUACAAUUAAAAAGUUUUUUUUUUAAAAUCUUGAUUGGGGCGAUCAAAAAAUAUUAAUAACUUUUUAAAAUUUAAAUUGAUCUAUUAUUAAUAAACUAAUGAAUUAAAUACUCUAGGGAUAACAGCGUAAUAAUUUUUGAUAGAUCUUAUUGACAAAAUAGUUUGCGACCUCGAUGUUGGAUUAGGAUUCUUUUUUAAUGAAGAAGUUAAAAAAAGAAGUUUGUUCAACUUUUAAAUUCCU